GGACGAACGCUGGCGGCGUGCUUAACACAUGCAAGUCGAACGGAAAGGCCUCUUUCGGGGGGUACUCGAGUGGCGAACGGGUGAGUACACGUGAGUAACCUGCCCUUGACUUUGGGAUAACUUCAGGAAACUGGGGCUAAUACCGGAUAGGAGCUCCUGCUGCAUGGUGGGGGUUGGAAAGUUUCGGCGGUUGGGGAUGGACUCGCGGCUUAUCAGCUUGUUGGUGGGGUAGUGGCUUACCAAGGCUUUGACGGGUAGCCGGCCUGAGAGGGUGACCGGCCACAUUGGGACUGAGAUACGGCCCAGACUCCUACGGGAGGCAGCAGUGGGGAAUAUUGCACAAUGGGUGGAAGCCUGAUGCAGCAACGCCGUGUGCGGGAGGACGGCCUUCGGGUUGUAAACCGCUUUCGCUCAUGACGAAGCUUUGUGUGACGGUAGUGGGUAAAGAAGCACCGGCUAACUACGUG
This 467-nucleotide ribosomal RNA is filed under the name uncultured bacterium. RNAcentral describes it as "partial 16S ribosomal RNA". It matches the Rfam family "Bacterial small subunit ribosomal RNA", at positions 27 to 507 of the family's 1533-position model. The record is from RNAcentral.